Molecule: ribosomal RNA, 495 nt
Filed under: uncultured bacterium
Lineage: Bacteria
Description: partial 16S ribosomal RNA
Rfam family: Bacterial small subunit ribosomal RNA
Source: RNAcentral
GACGAACGCUGGCGGCGUGCCUAAUACAUGCAAGUAGAACGCUGAAGGAGGAGCUUGCUUCUCCGGAUGAGUUGCGAACGGGUGAGUAACGCGUAGGUAACCUGCCUGGUAGCGGGGGAUAACUAUUGGAAACGAUAGCUAAUACCGCAUAAGAGUAGAUGUUGCAUGACAUUUGCUUAAAAGGUGCAAUUGCAUCACUACGAGAUGGACCUGCGUUGUAUUAGCUAGUUGGUGGGGUAACGGCUUACCAAGGCGACGAUACAUAGCCGACCUGAGAGGGUGAUCGGCCACACUGGGACUGAGACACGGCCCAGACUCCUACGGGAGGCAGCAGUAGGGAAUCUUCGGCAAUGGACGGAAGUCUGACCGAGCAACGCCGCGUGAGUGAAGAAGGUUUUCGGAUCGUAAAGCUCUGUUGUAAGAGAAGAACGAGUGUGAGAGUGGAAAGUUCACACUGUGACGGUAUCUUACCAGAAAGGGACGGCUAACUACGUG